RNAcentral lists this ribosomal RNA (238 nucleotides) under Cyclophora tenuis. RNAcentral describes it as "partial Bacterial large subunit ribosomal RNA". It matches the Rfam family "Bacterial large subunit ribosomal RNA", at positions 2676 to 2912 of the family's 2925-position model. The record is from RNAcentral. Lineage: Eukaryota; Bacillariophyta; Fragilariophyceae; Cyclophorales; Cyclophoraceae.
UCCUAGUACGAGAGGACCGGAGUGGACGGACCAAUGGUGUACCAGUCAUGCCGCCAGGCGUGCAGCUGGGUAGCUACGUCCGGGACGGAUAAACGCUGAAAGCAUCUAAGCGUGAAACCAGCCUAAAGAUGAGGUUUCUCAUUGUGAAAGCAAGUAAGGUCCCAUGAAGACGACAUGGUAGAUAGGCCGGGAGUGGAAGUGCAGUGAUGCACGGAGCGGACCGGUACUAAUAGACCGA